GCUGUGGCCGGUCUGAGGUCGCAUGUUAGACUGAGUAACAGCUUUGGACCAACAGCUUUGGACCUGUCUCGGGAGGCCCGUCAUAAUGGCUAUUAGGUUCUAGCGUACUGAUAGCUCUCGUCCUUUGGGAUAGGCUUUCCAAGCCUUUAUAAGUCUCUGUUGUUUAUCGGUAACAGUACCUCAGAUUCACACGUUUACGCCUAGGCAAAGGGGCUUUCGGUGGUAGGUCGCGGAUCUCCCGAAUACGUGUAACGGCUAAUGUCUCCUUAGUCGUGUCUGCUAGGUCCCUGUGAGAUAGCGUCUCACCAACAGGUUAUGAGCCCCGGGUAACGGUUCCCGGCGGUUAAUAUCUGUAGUUGCUUUUAGCUUGAGCAGGGAGGCUCGCUAGGCAACCGACAUGGGAAAAGGGUGUAAGACCGUCCUCUUAGCGGACGGGUCUAACUACUCACAGUGGCUAGGAGACUUCAGUGAUUUCCUUGCUACAUCCAAGCUGCGGAGCUAUAUGACCAACCCGUCGCCACCGGGACGCAAUGCGCAAGACGCUCUGGAGGAAGAUGCCCAGGCGCUUGGCUACCUGCGUCUAUCCUGCGAACUGCCAGUAAAGCAGUUGCUCAGGAACUGUCAGACGACCCUCGCCGCCAUGCAGCUCUUACAGCUGCAGUUCCGUUCUGCCUCUCAGGCCCGGCUAAGCCUGCUGGAGCCGCAGAAGCAACUGCGCAUGGGCGACGACGAGACGACCGCUGACUUCAUUCAGCGGGCGGAGCAGCUCCGCAGCGACAUUAUCUCGGCGGGCGGCCAGUGGGACGAGGCUGCUAUGCGUCAUGCAAUUCUCCACGGUCUGCCUCCACAGUACGCUAUUACUGUCGAGUUCGCGAUGUAUUUUUGCCCAACUUGACUACCCCGCAGCUCGUGUUUAUGCUGCGGGAGAAGGAGAACAACCUGAAGGCUCAAGCAAUCAAGUCCGGCCUGGUUGGAGCUGUUGGCCCUGGUCGCACCGCCCGUGGAGUCCGCGGUGCUGCCGGCGCCUCGGGCGCCGCGGGGGCCAUCGACACCUGCCGCUACUGUGGACAGCCUGGGCACUACGUCCGUGAGUGCCCCGUUAAACUGGCGGACGUGUCCGUAGGCCUCUACCGCAGCAAUGCGUUUGAACAGCCACGCAGUACUGGCGCCGGCAGCAGUGGCAGCGGCAACCGCCAUCGUGAUGGCGGCGGCGGAGGCACCAGCGGCGGCAAUAACAGCGGGGGCGACAGGACGCGAGAACGCGGCCGUUUUAGACGCGGCAACGGCCGCCGCAGCGGCAGCGACACUGCUGGCGGAAGCAGUGGCGGCGGCGGCGGCGGUGUAAGCUCACGCCAGAACCGUGCCACGGUGCUGGUCGUCGGUGGCAGUGGCAACAGUUCAGCAGUAGUCCUAGACUCUGGUUCACCUUACCACCUUACAGUUGACCGCUCACUGUUGCACAGUUACGUUCCUGCCGGCUCGCCCAAGCAAAUUAAGUGGGGGAACAACCAGCUAGCCGACGUCAUGGGAACAGGGCAGCUACUCCUACGGACACGCGAUGGAGAAACCGUCUUGCUACGCAACGUGCUCCAUGUCCCCAGCUCGGGACUGACGCUCAUGUCUGUCGACCUUCUCGUGACGCGCGGCUGCUCAGUCACGUUCGGCACGGACAAGGCGGGCCGCCGGUUCUCGCACGUAGGCCUGCCGCACGGCGGUUCGUCUAUCACCGCGUGGAGCGAGCGUGGGCAUUACGUCAUGGACGUGGACCUGCUGGCGCCGACCAAACGCGCCGUCAGUGCGCUCGGCGCUGCGGAAGACAGAGCCGGCGGAGGUACCAGCGCUAGCAGAUUUGCCGCCGGCGCCAGCAGCAGUGACGCCGGCGGGGACCAGCCAAACGGUGCCGGCAGCAGUGACACCGGCGGAGACCAGUCGAACGGCGCCAGCAACGGCCAAGGGCAGCUGGGCGCCCUUGAGUGCUCAGCCGCCGAACUCGCAGCAGCACAGCGCCUGCACCGCCAGUUCGGCCACCUUGGUUACCGGGCGUUGGAGCAGCUUAUCACCAAGCAGCUGGUACAUGGACCACGGGUCACUCCCGCGGCGCUGCAUCAGGCGGCAGAGGGUGUCUGCGAAGCCUAUGUCACAGCGAAGACUACAGCUACAGCUCACGUCAGCCGCGGUAACCGGCCUCAGCAUGUCCUGGAGGUCGUACACUCUGACCUGUGCGGGCCCAUGCCGACCACGGGCCGAGGAGGGGCUCGCUACUUGCUAACGCUGCUGGACGGUGCCUCCGGUCUGUCUGCCGUUCGCACACUGGUUAGCAAGAACCAAGUGGGCGAAGCGCUGCAGGACAUGGUGACGCAGCUGGAGGCUCGCAACCCGAAUGGUGCACGGGUCCGCACCCUUCAUAGUGAUAACGGUGGCGAGUUUGUCGCCGAGCAGCUGGCACAGUGGCUACGCCAGCGCGGCACUGCGCAUACCCACUCGGCGCCGUACACUCCGGAGCAGAACGGUGCAGCGGAGCGGCUCAAUCGCACGCUCCUCGACCGUGUGCGGGCUAUGCUGUACGAUGCCGCGCUCCCCGACAGCUUUUGGUCGGAAGCUGUGAUAUACGCCAACCUCCUGCGCAAUGUUUCCCCCUCUCAGGGCCGGGAGGCUACGCCGUGGGCAACUUAUCAUGGCGUCACCCCCGACGUCAGUCACCUGCACACCUUCGGCUGCCUGGCAUACGUCCGCGUCCCAACCAGCCAGCAGGUUAAGCUCGGUCCCCGCGCAGAGGCGGGAACCUACCUAGGACCAGAGCGCGGCACGGCCGCCCACCGCAUCCUCGUCGACGGUAAGGUGACUGUUAGCAGCGACGUCACCUUCGACGACGACCUCCGCGGCCUGGCGUCUCAACGGGCGGGCACCUCCUUCGGCGCUGGCCCCGCCCGUCCUGGCAGCGGCGACCCCGUCGGCGGCUCUACACAGCCCGCCACACCGCCGCCUCCAGUGGUUGCAUCGCCCCCAGUGAACCCAGCGCCCCCCCCCCGCCCCAACACACGCAGCCAACGGCAACCUCUUCACCCGCCGCUGGCCACGGUCUGCCCAGCCAACAACAGCAGCGGCGGCGGCGGAGAUUUGGGCAGUCCACCGCUGCUUAACAAAGCGUCGGGAAGCACAAAUUAUGCUGAGGCAGGCGACGGCAAUGCGGGCGGCGGAGGCAACAGCGCGGUGCAGGAGCCGCGCAGUUAUGAGGAAGCGGUGGCGAGUCCGCAAGCGGACAAGUGGAGAACUUCGAUGGAUGACGAGAUUCUGUCGCAGCUCUCCAACAAGACCUGGGAGUUGGGCACGCCGCCACCUGGUGCACGCAUCCUGGACUGCCGCUGGGUCUACAAAAUCAAACAGGAGCCAGGCGGUGAGGUUACAGCAACGGCGACCCGUCACAGGCGUGCCGGCUGUUAAAGUCUGUUUACGGCCUCAAGCAAGCCCCACGUUGCUGGUACGAGAAGCUGGCAGCGGAGCUGGGCAAGCUAGGCUAUGAACCGUCUGCGUCCGACCCCGUGCUAUUCGUCAAGAGGGGGUCCGAUGGCUCAAUCGAUGUGCUCGUGCACGUUGAUGACAUGCUGGUGGCGGCGGACAACCCGCAGUUGGUUGCGGCCGCCAAGGCGGCCAUAGCUGGUUGCUUCGCUGUACGAGACCUUGGAGAGGCGCGCUACUACCUCGGCAUGGAGAUCGUCCAGGACCGCCGCAACCGCAGCAUCAUGCUCACGCAGCAGCUGCUUCAGCGCCACAGCCUGGAGAACGCCAAGCCACGUGCCACCCCGCUACCCCAGGGUACGCGGGUUCUGCCAGCCAGUGACACCCAGCCGAUAUUGACGGACAGCAGUGGCUACCGCGCGCUGGUGGGAGAACUAAACUACCUCGCUACCAGCACACGCCCAGACAUCGCACACGCUCUGAGCAUGCUGGCGCGGCACAUGUCCGCCCCCACCAAAGCGCACAUGGGGCUCGCUCUGGGUGUGCUGCAUUACGUCUCUGGCACUCGGGCGCUUGGUCUACGUUACUGUGGCGACGCCAGCAAUUUCUGUGGGUACAGCGAUGCAGACUGGGCCGGCGACCCAACCACCCGCCAGUCCACCACUGGCUACGCUUUCUUGCUCGGUGGCGCGGCGGUCAGCUGGAGCAGUCAGUUGCAGCGCACCGUAGCUGCCUCCUCCGUGGAAGCCGAAUACCAGGCCGCAGCAGCAGCCGUGCGCGAGGCGUUGUGGCUGCGCAAGCUGGCGAGCGAUCUGGACCUUUCCCCGGGUGCUGUCAACGUCCAGCUGGAUUCGCAAGGCGCGCUCAGCCUCGGCAACAACCCCAUCACGUCGGUGCGCUCCAAGCACAUCGACGUGCACCAUCACAUCGUGCGCGAGAGGGUCGCGCGUGGUGAGGUGAAGCUCAGCCUUUGCACCACCGACGACAUGGUGGCUGACAUCCUAACCAAGGCACUGGGCGAGGUCAAGUUCGUGCGCUGCCGCACAGCGCUGGGCGUCACUUAGAUCGCCAGAGGAGGAGUGCUGAGGGCUUCGAGGAAUUGUUUUGAGCUAGGCUUUAGGGGGGUGCUGAGGGUGCGUGAGCAGGCGCCCGAAUGGGCAGGUCAAUGCCCGAAGGGGUGCCGUAGGCAGUGCGUAUGGUGCUGUACGGCACUGUUUUCCCUGUUUGUGUUUGAACAGCAGCACCAGACCGCAUAGCCAUCAGGCUGAAGGCUGGCAAGCUGCGUUUGUGUUUGUUGAGUGGUGAGCAGUCGGCCUGGACCGCGGACUUGGUGGCCGAGCUAGCUCGUCGGUGCUAACAAUUUGUAGUAAGGCCCCUAGUGCGACACGAGGGGGCGUGUUGAUGCGAAGGGUUGCCGUGUCGCCCUGUGGCCUGCUUGGGUAACUUGUCAGGCUGUCGUGAGUGACAGCUGUGGCCGGUCUGAGGUCGCAUGUUAGACUGAGUAACAGCUUUGGACCAACAGCUUUGGACCUGUCUCGGGAGGCCCGUCAUAAUGGCUAUUAGGUUCUAGCGUACUGAUAGCUCUCGUCCUUUGGGAUAGGCUUUCCAAGCCUUUAUAAGUCUCUGUUGUUUAUCGGUAACAGUACCUCAGAUUCACACGUUUACGCCUAGGCAAAGGGGCUUUCGGUGGUAGGUCGCGGAUCUCCCGAAUACGUGUAACGGCUAAUGUCUC
Molecule: long non-coding RNA, 5188 nt
Filed under: Volvox carteri
Lineage: Eukaryota; Viridiplantae; Chlorophyta; Chlorophyceae; Chlamydomonadales; Volvocaceae
Description: long non-coding RNA (VCAR_LNC003122)
Source: RNAcentral